UACGGAGGGUGCAAGCGUUGCUCGGAAUUACUGGGCGUAAAGGGCGUGUAGGCGGUUUCGUAUGUCUGGCGUGAAAGCCCCGGGCUCACCUCGGGAAGUGCGUUGGAAACUGCGAGACUAGAGUCCCGGAGAGGGAGGUGGAAUUCCAGGUGUAGCGGUGAAAUGCGUAGAUAUCUGGAAGAACACCGGUGGCGAAGGCGGCCUCCUGGACGG
Molecule: ribosomal RNA, 213 nt
Filed under: uncultured prokaryote
Description: partial 16S ribosomal RNA
Rfam family: Bacterial small subunit ribosomal RNA
Source: RNAcentral